AGUGAACGCUGGCGGUAGGCCUAACACAUGCAAGUCGAACGGCAGCACAGUAAGAGCUUGCUCUUACGGGUGGCGAGUGGCGGACGGGUGAGGAAUACAUCGGCAUCUACUUUUUCGGGGGGGAUAACGUAGGGAAACUUACGCUAAUACCGCAUACGACCUACGGGUGAAAGCAGGGGAUCUUCGGACCUUUCGCGAUUGAAUGAGCCGAUGUCGGAUUAGCUAGUUGGCGGGGUAAAGGCCCACCAAGGCGACGAUCCGUAGCUGGUCUGAGAGGAUGAUCAGCCACACUGGAACUGAGACACGGUCCAGACUCCUACGGGAGGCAGCAGUGGGGAAUAUUGGACAAUGGGCGCAAGCCUGAUCCAGCCACACCGCGUGGGUGAAGAAGGCCUUCGGGUUGUAAAGCCCUUUUGUUGGGAAAGAAAAGCAGCAGGUUAAUCCCCCGCUGUUCUGACGGUACCCAAAGAGUAAGCACCGGCUAACUUCGUG
RNAcentral lists this ribosomal RNA (492 nucleotides) under uncultured bacterium. RNAcentral describes it as "partial 16S ribosomal RNA". It matches the Rfam family "Bacterial small subunit ribosomal RNA", at positions 29 to 507 of the family's 1533-position model. The record is from RNAcentral.